This is a long non-coding RNA of Acanthaster planci (crown-of-thorns starfish), 375 nucleotides long. The record is from RefSeq and is a predicted model, not a curated record. Lineage: Eukaryota; Metazoa; Echinodermata; Asteroidea; Valvatida; Acanthasteridae.
UAUGUACUGAUGUAACACUGCAAACAACGCGUAGGUAGGUGCGGUCGCACCGCACGCGCACGUGUGUUGUAUACUGAGCGCUUGGUGGUCGCUUGUAAACCGUUUAUUUUCGCGACUUUGUGUAUCAUCUAGACAACACGAAAUAAGUCUUUGGGGAAUCGCUGGCACACCUACGUGAUAUGGAAAGCGGGCUCAAGAGAGACUCAAGUUCCAGUGAGGACCCAAGUGACAGCCACUCUGAGAGUGACGAGGAGCAAGAACAGUGGAUUGAGAGGUAGACAAGCUGUCACUUGUCAGUUAUAUUUGCCAUCUGUGAAGAAAAUCUUUUUGCAGGUGUUAAAGGUGAUAGCAGCGUGGUUGGUCCCCUGCCUGUUG